RNAcentral lists this non-coding RNA (225 nucleotides) under Halalkalibacter okhensis. Its description in RNAcentral is "Bacillus okhensis T-box sequence". It matches the Rfam family "T-box leader". From Rfam's summary of the family: Uncharged tRNA acts as the effector for transcription antitermination of genes in the T-box leader family. T-boxes are found upstream of many aminoacyl-tRNA synthetase genes and some amino acid biosynthetic genes usually in Gram-positive bacteria. Lineage: Bacteria; Bacillati; Bacillota; Bacilli; Caryophanales; Bacillaceae. The record is from RNAcentral.
GUUACCGUGUUGAGAGGGAAAAGUAAAAGUGAGUCAUUCCUUGCAGAGAGGACCAUCAUUGGCUGAGAGUGGUUUAGGAAUCUUGCUUUGAACAUGCACCCUUGAGUCUCUUUUUGAACAUUAUUUUUAGUAGGAAAGAGCGAGUUGCUUCGUUACAAGCUAGAAAAGAUGAGUAGGUAUUGCCUUCUCUAAGCAGAGUGGAACCGCGCCAAAAGCGCCUCUGUG